This 199-nucleotide long non-coding RNA is filed under the name Elaeis guineensis (African oil palm). Its description in RNAcentral is "long non-coding RNA (EGUI_LNC046676)". Lineage: Eukaryota; Viridiplantae; Streptophyta; Magnoliopsida; Arecales; Arecaceae. The record is from RNAcentral.
UGCAUCUCCCUACUUUGCAUAAUUUAUUAAAGCUAAACUCUACCCAGUCAUGGUCAAUUUCUACCUCUUUGGCCUGCGUCUCCGCACUUCUCAUAAUUUAUUACAGUUAAACUCUACCCAGUCUAGUAAGAGUCAUGUGACUUUCAUUUGCUUUGUUUCUAUGAAAACUUGAUCCAUGUACCACUUACUCUUGACCACC